AGUGAACGCUGGCGGUAGGCCUAACACAUGCAAGUCGAACGGCAGCACAGUAAGAGCUUGCUCUUACGGGUGGCGAGUGGCGGACGGGUGAGGAAUACAUCGGAAUCUACUUUUUCGUGGGGGAUAACGUAGGGAAACUUACGCUAAUACCGCAUACGACCUACGGGUGAAAGCAGGAGAUCUUCGGACCUUGCGCGAUUGAAUGAGCCGAUGUCGGAUUAGCUAGUUGGCGGGGUAAAGGCCCACCAAGGCGACGAUCCGUAGCUGGUCUGAGAGGAUGAUCAGCCACACUGGAACUGAGACACGGUCCAGACUCCUACGGGAGGCAGCAGUGGGGAAUAUUGGACAAUGGGCGAAGGCCUGAUCCAGCCAUACCGCGUGAGUGAAGAAGGUCUUCGGGUUGUAAAGCCCUGUUGUUGGGAAAGAAAAGCAGCAGGUUAAUACCCCGCUGUUCUGACGGUACCCAAAGAAUAAGCAACGGCUAACUUCGUG
RNAcentral lists this ribosomal RNA (492 nucleotides) under uncultured bacterium. RNAcentral describes it as "partial 16S ribosomal RNA". It matches the Rfam family "Bacterial small subunit ribosomal RNA", at positions 29 to 507 of the family's 1533-position model. The record is from RNAcentral.